RNAcentral lists this ribosomal RNA (287 nucleotides) under uncultured alveolate. RNAcentral describes it as "partial Bacterial large subunit ribosomal RNA". It matches the Rfam family "Bacterial large subunit ribosomal RNA", at positions 1644 to 1934 of the family's 2925-position model. The record is from RNAcentral.
GUACCGUAAACCGACACAGGUAGUCAAGGAGAGAAUCCUGAGGUGCUCGAGUGAUCCACGGCUAAGGAACUAGGCAAAAUAGUCCUGUAACUUCGGGAGAAAGGACGCCUCCCUCUUCAAGAGGAGGCCGCAGUGAAAAGGCCCAGGCGACUGUUUAACAAAAACACAUGGCUUUGCGAAAUCGAAAGAUGAAGUAUAAGGCCUGACACCUGCCCGGUGCUGGAAGGUUAAGGGGGGAUGUUAGUGGCAACACGAAGCAUUGAACCGAAGCCCCAGUAAACGGCGGC